Non-coding RNA from Styela clava, 1093 nucleotides. NCBI's taxonomy places the organism in Eukaryota, Metazoa, Chordata, Ascidiacea, Stolidobranchia, Styelidae. The record is from RefSeq and is a predicted model, not a curated record.
GCAGAUAUCACUGCAAUGGUCGCCGAGAAGCAAACUAGUAACGAAUUCAUCUUUAUUUCAAGAUUUCUCUGUUCUCCAACUGUUUCUCUCCUUCGAGACAGAUGAUUUUCUUCUUAUGUGCAGAGCUUAUAUAGGGAGUUUCAGCAGAAAAAGGCGGGCUGUGUGAAAAAGUUAAAAAGGAUUUUAAUUGCAAGAAGAUCAUUUGUCGCCUGGGAAGCGAUUGUUGAGAGGAUCAAAGCGACAAAUUUUAUAUCAAAAUAAUGGAAGCAAAAUACACAAACAGCUUGUACUGGUUGCAACCGCAGCCAAAUGUUAACAACCGGAUGUGUUAAUGCAGAUUCUGCUGAUGAGACAUAAUUGAAUGGUAACGUGGUUGAAGAGAUUGCGAUAGGCGUUUCACCUCCGUAAAUCUAUUCUAAAUGAUGAACUAUAGAUAUUUCAAUAUGUAUUGAACUGAUUUGAAUCACUUGCCCGAGCGUACUAGAUCAAUGGUCGGUCAACUUGAUUAUUAUGGUAUGAGAUGGAUCUUUCAUGCGGUAUUACAUGAAAAAUUUGAUAUAUCUUCACCCCAAAAUAUAUCAAGACAAUAAAUAAUAUUUUUAGGGAUUGUUUAUUUCUGUUAAAAACGGCGUUGCACUUUCACCAAAGUUGUUUCCCGAUUAUUUUGAUAAUUUUUUUUACACCAUCAACGAUGCCAUUACAUAUGUCGUUUUGCGAGAGUCGCGUGAGCUUUGUUGUGUAAAGGGUAUUUUUCCUCAUGUACCAGGUCUGUUACAGACAUCGGCGAUCAUGGCCUUCCAUUCCAAUCUGUUGUUAGUUCUCCUGAUGAGUUCAUUGUUGGAGGAUUCUUUCUUUGUUACGUAAUUAUUCAGACUGUCGGUGUGUUUUGUGCGUUGUCUUCCCCUACUUUUGGUACCACAAAUCUUUCCACACAGUAUUUGCUUUUCUAUCCCAUUUGCUCUGUUUAUGUGCCCAAAAAAUUGUAGUUGUCUUUUCCUGAUGGUUUUAAUUAGGGUUAGUAAUUACUUUAAUUAGUAAAUGUUAUUAUUUUUUUAAAAUAAUAUAAUGUGCUUUUUGAUUAUUCUUGUAAAGA